UGCCGAUGAUGACCACGCCAUGCUAAUACCGACCGGCCGCUGGCCGGGGUGAGUUCAACCUCUUCUAGGGCUGAGGCAC
Leptosomus discolor (cuckoo roller) is the source of this 79-nucleotide non-coding RNA. Lineage: Eukaryota; Metazoa; Chordata; Aves; Leptosomiformes; Leptosomidae. The record is from Rfam.